GUAAGUAUAGUUUAACAAAAACAUUAGAUUGUGAAUCUAACAAUAGAACCUGAAGCUUUCUUACUUACC
RNAcentral lists this transfer RNA (69 nucleotides) under Carollia perspicillata (Seba's short-tailed bat). RNAcentral's name for it is "transfer RNA-His". It matches the Rfam family "tRNA". Rfam says of the family: Transfer RNA (tRNA) molecules are approximately 80 nucleotides in length. Their secondary structure includes four short double-helical elements and three loops (D, anti-codon, and T loops). Further hydrogen bonds mediate the characteristic L-shaped molecular structure. tRNAs have two regions of fundamental functional importance: the anti-codon, which is responsible for specific mRNA codon recognition, and the 3' end, to which the tRNAs corresponding amino acid is attached (by aminoacyl-tRNA synthetases). tRNAs cope with the degeneracy of the genetic code in two manners: having more than one tRNA (with a specific anti-codon) for a particular amino acid; and 'wobble' base-pairing, i.e. permitting non-standard base-pairing at the 3rd anti-codon position. The record is from RNAcentral. RNAcentral also lists the same sequence under 1 other name. Lineage: Eukaryota; Metazoa; Chordata; Mammalia; Chiroptera; Phyllostomidae.